Leptonychotes weddellii (Weddell seal) is the source of this 8606-nucleotide non-coding RNA. The record is from RefSeq and is a predicted model, not a curated record. NCBI's taxonomy places the organism in Eukaryota, Metazoa, Chordata, Mammalia, Carnivora, Phocidae.
CAUUUAAAGAAACAGUACCGGGGGCGGGCCGAGCGACGCAGCCGGGACGGUAGCUGCGGCGCGGACCGGAGGAGCCAUCUUGUCUCGUCGCCGGGGAGUCAGGCCCCUAACUCGAAGAAGCCCUGGCGCGCCCUCCCCCCCUCCCCGGUCUGGUAGGGCGAAGGAGCGGGCGCGCGGUCGAUCGAGCGAUCGGUUGGCGGCUCUUUCUCCUGCUCUGGCAUCCAGCUCUUGGGGCGCAGGCCCGGCCGCCGCGGCGCGCGCCCGGUGGCCGUUGGCGCUCGCGCCGCGUCUUUCUUCUCGUACGCAGAACUCGGGCGGCGGCCUAUGCGUUUGCGAUUCGACGAGGAGUCGUCCGGGUGGUCGGCGGCGGCGGGCAACUGCUCCGCCCCGCUCCCGGGGAGGCGGCGGCGGCGGCGGGAUUUGGCGCGGCCGGGGAGGCGGGGGUGGCCGGGGCCGGCCUGGAGGCCUGGCGCCACCCUUCGGGGCCUGCAAGGACCCAAUUGGGGGGGCAAGAGGGCGCUGGGGGAUGGUUGGUGGUGGGCUUUCUACUUUGCCUUUUCCUCCUUAUGCCCCCUUAGUGAGGGGCGGGAGCUCUGGCGGCAGCUCCGGGGUGGGGAGACAAGCCCCGGAGUCGGAAGAGCUGGGUUUGCUUCCGGGCCUAGCCACCAGCUGGCCGAGUGACCUUAGGCAAAUCACUCUGUAAUUUGUCGGCGCCUCAGUUUCCUUCUCUGCCUAUCAAUGUUUGUGGGGUUGAAAGCGCUUUGUAACGUAUAAAGCGUCGGUGUACGGAAGGGAUGAUUAUUGUUUGUAAUGGGGUUUUUUUUUGAGUUGUAAGAAAAGUUAGCAAUUGCCCAGUUCUUGAAUUUUGGAACCUGGGAACCUUGGAUUGAAGUUGGAGAUCCCCCAAACUCCCCGAAAUUGUAUGUAGAAAUAGUGGGAGUGUGCAUUUUGUGGACUGAGGAUCCAUCGCCAGCAAGUUAUCAAAGGGGGCUGUAACCCAGAAAAGUUAAGAACUACAAUUGUUCUAUGCCACAGGGAGGAAAUUGAGGCCUAGAUGUCAUUUGGGACCCUUCACAACCGAUUUGAAGCCCCUGUUUGAAUCCCUGGGAUAUGUGAGCUGUUUCUAUGCAUAAUGGAUAUUUGGGGUAACAACGCUCCACUGCUUGGCUUCCAUUCUGAGUCCUUUUCCCUUUACCAUGGGGUGCCUGAAGGGUAGCUGACACGUUGGUAUGGUUCAAUGGCACCCAACAUAAAGCAGCUAAAACGAGAAAUGGGUGUGUUCUCUAGUAUCAAGAAGCCUGUUGAAGCUUUGGCCCAGCAAUUCUUAGUGUUCUGCUGCUUAUACUGGUACCUGACUACCUGUCUCUUUCAUUGACCAUUUUCCACAACCAUGGUUGCCAUCCAUUACUUGCUUCUAUUUUAUAUCCUUAGUCUGUGCGGUUGGUAGUGAGCAGGCUUAUUUUUAAAUGGUGCUGCUGAGUCCAGCUAAUUAAUGGUGCAGGUGGAUUUUUAGCAAGCUGGCUCACUGGUACACAGACUAAACCAGGCCUGGAAUUCCUGAAGAUGUUUGGGGGUUUAUCUUUAUUAAUUGAAGGUUAACACUCUCUGAAGAGUUUUGUUAUGACUUCUGCUGAACUUCAAAAUCAGUAGAUUUGGAAGUGUUUCAAUGCUUAACUUUUUUUCUGGCCUGCUUUGUAUUCUCUUUGCUUGCAAGUGUGUUACUAAGAUGGCCAAAAUGCCAGUUAUUGCUUCUUUGUUAAUUGUCAGCUGCUUUUAUCAAAUUCCAGGCCAUUGUCCAGCAAACACUAUAGAAAUGUUUGAACAAUUGGAUUUCAAACAUUUUAAUUUUGUGGAGUGGUGCUUACCAGUGGUACAGCUCUAAGCAAGUGAACAUAAACACAUUUAAGUGUAUUUUGUCUGGUUAGGUGUUUACCUGUUUUGCUAUUUCAUACAAAUGUCUGAGAAAAUCAGUUGACUAUUCCUUUUACCUAAAGGGCAAAGACAAAUGAUCUCACUUCCAGAGAAAUGACUGUUUUGGAGAAAAAUGUGUUGGUCUUUUAGCUCUUUUGUUAUUAUCUGGAUGUACCUCAAAAGAAUCUUAAGACUGUGGUGAUCUUAUAAGAUGCUUUCCUCGGGAGAAAGGAGGAAAAAAAACAACUGGAACUCAAAGCUUGAAAUUCUGUGACAAAACAUGAGAUGUCCAGGAUAGGAGGCCGAAAAGGUUUCACUACAGUGUUCUGCACUAGCUGGAGCAGAUGAUUUUCUGUGUAGCCACGGCAUGGCCUCCAGAUUUCCAGAUUUUCAACACUUGGGACCUGAAGAGUGUGUCAGGAUGUGACAGGAACUUUGGAGCUGAAUAUUUUUGGUUUUGAAUUUGGGGGCUGUUGACCUUGCUUUGAGAAGAGACAGCAACUGAGCAAGCGCUGCCACCAGCACCAUUACUGGGAAUUUGAAGACCUGAGUUUCUGCCAGACCUUCAGUGCAAACUCUAGCAACACUCCAUCAAAAGUGAACUACGUCCUGUGCCUCCUGAUUGCUGAGUGUUCACCUGGACCUUCUGACUACCUUCCUUGUACUGUUCCAUCAGCCUACAGAUCUGGUACCUGGAUUUUUGCCCUUGGUGAUUCCUUCACCUUACUGCUGAAGAAGACACCAUUCCAGUGGGCCACUGUGAUCCAAGAGGCAUUCAACCAUCAUGAUGUGGCCUUCACCUCCACUCCUGUCCUGUUCCACCCAGAUUCAGCACAGCCCUUUAUAGUGAAGUCAAACUGUUUAAGUCAAGUAGCUGAAGCUAUUUUAUCACAACAAAGGCCCCAUUUGUUCCUUGAUUGUGCAUUUCAUUUCUUCAGUUAAAGCCUUCAGAGACACAUAAUAAAUUUGGACCAGAGGAUUUUUAGUUAUCAACACUGAAGAAUGACAACAUCUUUUCAAGAACGGCAUUGGACCAUACCCCACAAUUUCAAAUGAUUGAAAUUCAUGAAGUGUCUAGGAUCCUCUCCAGGUCACUGGAUCUUAUUCUUUUUCCACUUCAAGUCUAUAGUAGCCUACUGAAUAGAAAGCAGAUAUUCUGACCAGCAGAUAUCGGGAUUAAAACAAAGGCACAGUGAACUCACAGCAUCUUUGGGAUUACUCAGGAACCAGAACUUUUCACACAAAUUUAAGAAAUUCUGCCAAGGAAUCCCUUUAUCUAACAGCAUCUCACAAAGCUGCAGUCAGAUUCCAGAAAAGGCAUCUUGAUACAUCCAGGUAGAACCUAUAAUGGUAAUCCCUUAUGUUUAUAUAGCACUUUAUAGUUUCAAAGCACUUUUACAUGCAUUAAUCUCAAUUAUCAAAAUAACACAGUAAAUUAUAAUCCCUUUUUGCAAAUGAGGAAAUGGAAAUUUAAAAGGUUAUCCAAGGUGACACAGCUACAAAGUGGUAGAGGUCAGGCCUUCUGACUCCCAGUCCAGUUCUCUCCAUGGAAUUAACUUAGCUUCAACUUUACCUGCAGUGUUAAGAUGACUGGAGGUUGGUAACCCCAGAAAAGUUUUCAACUUCUGAUCUGGUACCCUCAGUCAGUCAGGAUGUCAUAAGUGUAAUCUUGUGAUGGCUGCACCUAGACCAGAAUUCCAUGGCAGUAUCCCUAAGGUUUAAGAGAGGACUGUCUCCAUAGUGGCAGAUUAUUCCAGUCAACAAGGCACACGUUCAUCUGACAAUAAGACUAUGUAACAUGAAACACAAAGCUACUUUUAGAUCUGUUGUUCCCAUGGUCUUCCCAAAUGGCCUAAUUGAUUGGAGAUCCCUGUUCAUGUUUUGUUCUCUUUUUUUUUUUUCCUAGGUCUUACUAAUAACUCUUAGACACCAAGAUCUUAUCUAUGGUCCUCUACCCCCAAACAUGUACUUGACAUGAGUCCUACAUUUUUUUAGAGCAGUGCUGUUCAUAUAUGUGUGUAUGUAUAUUUGAUGCAUACUCAUAACAUGUAUACGUAGAGCUUCCAUAGUCCUGUAAGAUGGUAAAAUAUGUGUUCCCUCCCCUGAUUCAUUGUAGUGUAUUAAAGGAUCUCAGAAGGCUUGCGACAAAGAGCCUCAUUGAGCUGUUUAGCCCAGUGUGUCCUAAGUAUAAUUAAACACAGAAUGUUAUUGUUGCAGCAUUCCUUUAAACGGAAUGGGGAAACUGCUUUAAUGCAGUAUAGCCAGUACUGGAGACCCAGGAGUAAACAGCAUCUUUGAAGCCCCUCCCCCCAUUUCUGACUUUGUCAAUAACUGCUUGAAUUGGUAUGUCUUUAUCAUCUGAGAGUCCUACAUCUUGACCAUUACCUCUGUUUUUCUGUUAAAGGAACCAUUAGAAGAUCUGUGAGGAUAUAUGGGAAGGGAAUGGGGAAAAGUUAAUGUUGACCCCCAAAUUGGAUGAGUUCCAUGACAUUUAGCAAUAUACUUCUCUGUCCUUAGAAUUGUGCUGUAAAUCUAGCUCAAAGGCAUUGAAUCUCAGGUGGGUGAGGAGAUUGGGAAGGGAAGGGAGGAGGAGAAAGAUGGAAAAAAGGGGGAGGAGGGAUGAGAAGGAAAUAUUUUCUUAGAAUUUGAGUUGUGGCCCAUUGAGAUCUUACCAGUGCUUGAAGAGAAGUCCUCUAGCCAUGGACUUGGGAUAAUAUUUGCAAAGAAAUGGAAUGCAUUUUGCAGACGUAUGCUGACUGCAAAAAUCCAAUGCUGUUGUCACUUAAAACCAAUAGCCUGUUCUCUGAUAGUCACAAACCCAGUUUGAGGCCAUCAGAAUUUACAGCAAACUUGAAUGUUAACAUCAUUCUGUAAUGUGGCCCAUAUUAGGGAAAGAAUGACUAGGAAAACACCUUCUUGGCUUACCACAGACUUUGCUCACAGUUUCUGGUUUCUGUGACCUAUUUUUUGUAUUUCAGCAUUUUGUGAACAACUUAUUCUUAGAUCAUUGGUUUUCCAAAGGCUUUGUGACCAUGAAGCCCUUUGGAUGAAAACUGUGUGGAAGCCCAGAGUAAAAGAGAAGCUGCUGUAGAUGAAGCAGGAGUGGGGGGCCUGAAACCUGCCACACAAGCAUCUUCCUUUACCACCAUGGUGACCCCUAAGGAGACUUCUUUACAACACCUAGAAUUCUUCAGAACACAGUUUGAAAACCACUGCCCUAGACAACAUGUGCAACCUGAAUGGCAUUCUGAUCUGUACCUCUACCCAACCCAGUCCGUGUUCAGUUGAUGCUGCACAUUCUUAGGAAUACUUACCGUGGGCAGAAUCAGAAAAGUGCAAGAAGAUGGGCAUAUCUUUGCCCCCCCAGAGUAGUCAUGUGGGCCGAAAGUGGUAUCAAAUGGACCUAGAUUAGCAGCCCUGUACCCCCAGAUGGAUUUCAAGUCAGUGAUUCCUGGGAUUCAAUAUAGUCAGCAAUUCAUAUGUACUCCACACUGACACACCCCCUUACUCAGCCUCUUUAACAAACACCAGAUGCUCUAGCGGUACUUGAAAUAUGUAACUUUGAAGUCUUGAUCCUCCUUGGAUACCUGAAUCGCCAGGUAUUGAAGCUGGUACUAAAGUUGAUGAUGCCUCAUUGAGGCCAUAUUAGACCAACUUGUACAUUGGACCUCCCAUCAUCAGCCAUGGUACUUUACUUCGUGUGCAAGGGAUAACCAUUACCUAUGAAAGUAGAACUGAAAUUCUGGCAACAUUACCUAAAAGGGUACCUGGUUAUUCAUCUUAUUCUCAAAACUACAAGUCACUAUGACUCAACCAGUGGCAGUUACACUGCUUCUUGGUUAUUAUUCAGUUUAACUGCUGUUUCCAGGAUAAAUGAGCUAAUAACCUUAAAAAAGUUUCCUCCAUCAUUGGCAUGUCUGCUCCACAAUUAUGAAUACUCUGCUCUAACUACAUGUAACACCUGAUCCACAAGAGACUAUUUUUGAAUAUCCUCUCUCAUGUAUGUGAUUUUAAAUGUGAUCUUUUGGAAAAUUUUCUUCUAACCAAUGAGAGGUGUUCUUUUAUGAUGGCUCUUUUGAUGUCUGGUACCAUCAACUUCAGGUGUUAGGGAUAUUUGGAGGUAGGCCUCUUGACCAGGCCAUAGUAGCUUGCUUGCUGGGCAUCUCAAGUUACAUAUCAUCCACCUUUUUGCUGGAAAUGUAGACUGACUUGAAAAUCUACAAAGCCUGCAGCUAAGAUUUUAUCAGUAGACUCAAGAGCUUCCUGCAGCUUCUUCCUAAUGUUACAAGACCAGUGUCUUGUCUUUGUGGAUGUUUUCAUGGAAUUUCAUCUGUCUCAGUACUGUUGUUUUAUACUGAUUCAGAGUGGCUGACUUCAUUCCUUGCUAUGAGAUACUCUCAGGCAUUAAGACACUUACCUGUUUCUACAGGAUGGAUUCAGUUCGUGAACUCCCAGACCAGAUCAUGUCAAACAAGUAGACUUCAAUUUGUGUCGUGAGAAAAAUCUCAGUCCCUUACUUCACAAUCUACUUAAGGGCCAGCUGUCCUCAACUAUACUCUAGUGAAUGCACUGGUUAAAUGUUGGGAAUGGUUUCUUUGUAUCUUUGUCUCUUAUUCUCUAGACUAACCCUGAUUACAUGACUCUGUCUACAAAUCAUCAAACAAGGCCUGUGCAUCCUCAACUAAUAAAAAUCUAAUGACUAGCUUGCUUGUAUAUACAACUAUUUGUUAAUAAGAAGUUAUCUACAAACUCCAUUUUUCUACUACCUUCAAAACGUCAGCUCGAUUUUCUCUUCUGUACUUACAGAAAAAGACACUGAUCUACACUGCCAGUCAUUCCCUUUAAUCCUGUCAAAUGCAGUCAAAAUGAGGGGCUUAAGGUGAGGAUGAUCAUCUAUUCAAGAGUCUAAUGUACGCUGUGUAUAAGAAUUGAUGGUUGAAAAUGAAGAAAGCCUAAAACUCAAACCCAGGAUCUUAACUACUAUCUGCCUGCCUCAGAUCUCAAUCUAAGUCUUUCAGCAGCACCAUCCAACCAAUCUAAGGCCUUGUUUAUAAGCUGAUUCUCAGAGAUGGGCUGAGUUUCAGAAGAUGGAGACUUGAUUACCAAAGAGAGUAGGGCCAACCUUCAUGAACCUGGCUCUCCCAACCUUGUCAUUCCCAGAUGUAGCAUAGACUCCUCAACAGAACCUCAAGUCUGAAUUGAGAAUAUAGCCUUCUACUGAGCUGAAAGUUCUGGGGCAGAUAAACAGAAAAAUGAAAGCUGCUAUACCUGACUGGCCCUUUAAGAUCAGAAAAUGAUAUCCAGAGUAAACCUACUAAGGAAUGACCCUGGAGUACUCAGGGUAAAAACUAAUUUACAGAGCUUCGAUAUCAAUCUACCCAUUUUUCCAGAUCACAUCCUGGCUAUUGGUGUGGCUAGCCCUGCUGAAGGUACCCUAUUUGUCUCUUUAGACUCAGCCCUUGUAUGCCUUUUUUGACAUGUUGGCAAUCAGACUGGCUGUGCAUGAGAGAACUACAACUGGUAUCAGCCUGUCUUACACUCAGUUCCACCAAGGAGUUUUGAAUAGAAGCAGCCUGCAUCUCACACACACACACACACACCCCCAGGACUUAAUGUUCACAACUGGAAGGACUGUGCUAUAUACUACUUGACCAGCAGCCCUUUUUUUUUUUUCUUAAGUGCAGAGUAAGCCUCUACAAUUAUAUAUAUUUCAUCAUUUUCAGCACUUGAGACCCCUUCUACCAGAUCUGAAGGACUACAGAUUGAAAGCACUGUCCAUUCCUCUCUUCUGCAGUAAUACAGAGGUGACAGAAAUGUACCACUUCACCUUGACAAAAGACUAAAGGAAUGCAAGAAAAGUUUUCCACUGAACUUAGAAGUUACACUGACUUAAUAGCCUCACAGAACUAUUUGCCAGUGGGAGGCUUGUUGUCCUGCGUUGUGUCUGCAAGAUGGCUGGGCUCUCAGAUUCAAGGCCACUGAGUUUACUUCUGUUGAAACGCUAUUGCAUCAUCCAAAGUAUGCUAUUGGACACAAUUAUUCCAUUGAAAUGGAUUACAAGCUUCCUGAGUACAGGACAAAUUUAACUCCUCAUGGUGUUUUUUCAGAAUACUUUUAUUGUCAAGAAAGUAACAAAUGCCAGCUGUUAGUGAACAGAUACUAAACUUUUUCAGUAUUAUGGGUCAUAUUGACAUCAGGUUUUGAUUGACCAGCAUCCAUUCCAUCUCUUUGUAGCAACUCUGUGAUGUUUCUUGGAACCACUUUUCCGUAUCUUCAGUCCACAUGAUUCAGACAGUCUGGCCCAACUUGAAGCUUCAUGGGUGGACAUGUAAUUCAGACCUGAUCAAUCAGCAUAGUCCAUUCUUUCACCAAAAAGAUUGGUUCUGGAAUGGUUGUGUGAUCCAAGUUGGUCCAGUGAUACUCAGCCCUAGGAGUUCUACUGAACUGUGGAGGAGAAGCUCAGAAGCUCUCUUUACUGAGGUUGCUUGGCUUUGUAGUAUGAAAAGCUCAAACCAACAGGGCCCACCAUAUCAAAUGAGCCAGAGAAUGAAGCCAGUGCAGAGCCAAAUGAUGGAGAGACUUGAGUCCUGAUGACAAUGUUUGUGCCCCUGGAUCCAACCGUGCCUGAAGCUAGUAUAUCCCUAUGGACUUUUCAGUUAUGUGAGCCAAUAAAUACCCUUUUUUGCUUUAAGUUA